RNAcentral lists this long non-coding RNA (594 nucleotides) under Sorghum bicolor (sorghum). RNAcentral's name for it is "long non-coding RNA (SBIC_LNC018830)". The record is from RNAcentral. Lineage: Eukaryota; Viridiplantae; Streptophyta; Magnoliopsida; Poales; Poaceae.
CGAACUCCAAUUUUGACGUUCCAUAUAUCAAAAUCGAUUAGAAAAUUUUUUUGGAUCUGUCUAUCCCGCCAACGGCGGGUUCGACAAUUUUAGAAUCCCCAAAUUCGCCUCUGAAGUUUGAGUUUUCACCUCCUAAAUUUUUUUCAUAUUUUUCACAAUCUUCAAAAAAUUCAACAGGCCACGUCUUUCACUUGUUUAAGCUUAAAUUUCCUGUGGUUAUUUCUUGAGUGCUCCUUAGUAAAAGAAAAAUAUAAAAAAAAAUAAAAAGAAUUGCAGGGUUUCGAAUUGUGUUGUUCGCAAGCUGGAUUGAUAUGUCUCUCGUUUCCACCAAAUCGAUAGUUACCAGAAAGUUUCGGAAGAUCGGGCCACACUUGUUCUCCUGAAGUGGUAUUCGAAGCUUCAGACAUAUCGUUAGGUUCACAUCUACCCUUAGUUUCAAGUGUCCUUGUGUUCGUCGCAUAAGUCUAGUGCCAUAUUGUUUUCAUGUCCUACAACCCAUCCGCGCCAUAGCCUUUGCAUAUUUCAGUUUCAGAGUCCGUAGUGUUGAGUUUGUGUCCUGGUCAAGGUCUUGUUACUGGUUAGGUCUUGUUACAG